CACGUAGGGGGCGAGCGUUGUCCGGAUUUAUUGGGCGUAAAGAGCUCGUAGGCGGCUCGGUAAGUCAGGUGUGAAAACUCUAGGCUCAACCUAGAGACGCCACCUGAUACUGCUGUGGCUAGAGUCCGGUAGGGGAGCAUGGAAUUCCUGGUGUAGCGGUGAAAUGCGCAGAUAUCAGGAGGAACACCAGUGGCGAAGGCGGUGCUCUGGGCCGGAACUGACGCUGAGGAGCGAAAGCGUGGGGAGCAAACGGG
This 254-nucleotide ribosomal RNA is filed under the name uncultured bacterium. RNAcentral's name for it is "partial 16S ribosomal RNA". It matches the Rfam family "Bacterial small subunit ribosomal RNA", at positions 524 to 776 of the family's 1533-position model. The record is from RNAcentral.